UAGGGUUAGAGGACACAGGGGUUGGGCCCUUGGAGCUAGGGUUAGGGCCCCGAGGGUUCGGCCCCUGGAACUAGGG
Molecule: long non-coding RNA, 76 nt
Organism: Gopherus flavomarginatus (Mexican gopher tortoise)
Lineage: Eukaryota; Metazoa; Chordata; Testudines; Testudinidae
Exons: 3
Source: RefSeq, a predicted model, not a curated record